CGUGUAGGCGGUUGGGUAAGUCAGAUGUGAAAGCCUUCUGCUUAACAGAAGAAGUGCAUUUGAAACUGCUCGGCUAGAGUACGGGAGAGGAGAGUGGAAUUCCCGGUGUAGAGGUGAAAUUCGUAGAUAUCGGGAGGAACACCAGUGGCGAAGGCGGCUCUCUGGUCCGAUACUGACGCUGAGACGCGAAAGCGUGGGGAGCAACAGGAUUAGAUACCCUGGUAGUCCACGCCGUAAACGAUGGGCACUAGGUGUAGGAGGUAUUGACCCCUUCUGUGCCGAAGCUAACGCAUUAAGUGCCCCGCCUGGGGAGUACGGCCGCAAGGCUAAA
RNAcentral lists this ribosomal RNA (331 nucleotides) under uncultured bacterium. RNAcentral's name for it is "bacterial SSU rRNA". It matches the Rfam family "Bacterial small subunit ribosomal RNA", at positions 568 to 898 of the family's 1533-position model. The record is from RNAcentral.